RNAcentral lists this long non-coding RNA (1339 nucleotides) under Equus caballus (horse). Its description in RNAcentral is "lncRNA (ENSECAG00000051010.1)". Lineage: Eukaryota; Metazoa; Chordata; Mammalia; Perissodactyla; Equidae. The record is from RNAcentral.
CUCACACUGCCCGUGCGUCGCGGCCCCGGUCGGGUGUCGUUCUAAGGCUUGGGAAACCCAGACUGGAGGGUUACAUGAAUUUAGAGGCGGUCAGGGCUUUAGUUGCAAAGAACAGAAUCCAUUCUAGCUCAUUUAGGCAGAAAAGGAGUUUAUUAAAGGAUAUCAAGUGACUCACAGAUCUCCAGGAGGGAGGGCCAGAGACACUGGCUAGGAGACCACACGGCCACGAACAACGUCCAAAUUACAGUGCAGGGCCUUCCCAUCACUGCCACCCGGCCCAGACACCGCCGCUCUCACCAAUGACAUCGGGCACGUCCCUUCUGCCUCGCUGCUAGAUUAGAUUCCACACACCACAAUCCACUUCCAUUGCUUUCACAUGUGGGUGUGUCUGACUGGCUGAGCCCAGGCUCCAUCUGGAUGUAUUUGACUGGCUGCGCCUGGGUACCAUCUGGGUCUAUCUGAUUGGUUGAGCCUAGGUCACAUGCUUACAGCCUAACUGCAAGGGAGGCUGGGAAAGUGAGAUUCAGGCUGCUUCUGGUACAGAUUACUAAGGCGGGAGAUUGUCCUAAGGAAAGCUUUUGGGCUGACAAAAACGUUGAUGGUGCCCACUGCAGAACUGUCCAAAGUCUCUGUCAGUCAGGUCAGUCGUAGAGAGCAGAAUCCACCCAGCCAGUAAAGCAGGGUGGUCUGUAAUCCGUACCGGCGACAUGGUGAGGCUGGAACUACAUUUCCCAGAAUCCCUUUCCACCAACGGUUCCGACUUAAAAUUGACCAAAAGAGGAACUUGUGCGAGAUUUAGAAGGCGGAAGGGAAGCAGCCGUCUCUUCUCUUGCAAGGUCGCUGUCGUUAGAUGUGGCAACAGACUGUGCAGACAGGCCAGCAGGCUCCCGCUUGUCCUUGCUGUCCUCCGCACUGCGUCCAGGUCUUCUUGCUGACCCCUGGCCACCAGCACCUGGCCCACGGCCGGACACUUGGCUGCAGAGGCAAUGUUUCCCCAUCGAUGUCUCUACUAGGGCCCUCGGCACACUCACUUUGGUGGUGGAGGUGUAACUGCCAUCAUAAAUUACUCACCCCAAACUCGUGGGUCAGACCUGGUUGCUUUCCUGGUUGGCUCUGAUUGGCACAUUACAGGCAUUUACAGAAUCACAGAGAGGGCUGAGGAAGCCGCACUGCAGGACUGAGCCGCCGGGCUGGGCUGCCGCUCCCACGGAACGAGGAAGCAUUGCUGCCGACGGGAGGGGCAGACGGCCCAGCGCGCUCGGGGCUGCACCUGCAGGCUGGAUGCCCUCUCAGUGCCGACCAUGGGGUCUCUUGUGCCCGCAGCUGGCUGGUGGGCCCU